GACGAACGCUGGCGGCGUGCCUAAUACAUGCAAGUCGAGCGGACUAAUGGGAGCUUGCUCCCGUUAGUUAGCGGCGGACGGGUGAGUAACACGUGGGCAACCUACCUGUAAGACUGGGAUAACUUCGGGAAACCGGAGCUAAUACCGGAUGACAUAAAGGAACUCCUGUUCCUUUAUUGGAAGAUGGCUUCGGCUAUCACUUACAGAUGGGCCCGCGGCGCAUUAGCUAGUUGGUGAGGUAACGGCUCACCAAGGCGACGAUGCGUAGCCGACCUGAGAGGGUGAUCGGCCACACUGGGACUGAGACACGGCCCAGACUCCUACGGGAGGCAGCAGUAGGGAAUCUUCCGCAAGGGACGAAAGUCUGACGGAGCAACGCCGCGUGAGCGAUGAAGGCCUUCGGGUCGUAAAGCUCUGUUGUUAGGGAAGAAUAAGUGCUAGUUGAAUAAGCUGGCACCUUGACGGUACCUAACCAGAAAGCCACGGCUAACUACGUGCCAGCAGCCGCAGUAA
Molecule: ribosomal RNA, 513 nt
Filed under: uncultured bacterium
Lineage: Bacteria
Description: partial 16S ribosomal RNA
Rfam family: Bacterial small subunit ribosomal RNA
Source: RNAcentral